GAGGGUAUAGCUCAGUGGUAGAGUGAGUGCCUAGCCUGCACAAGAUCCUGGGUUUAAUCCCCAGUACCUCCA
RNAcentral lists this transfer RNA (72 nucleotides) under Camelus bactrianus (Bactrian camel). It matches the Rfam family "tRNA". Rfam says of the family: Transfer RNA (tRNA) molecules are approximately 80 nucleotides in length. Their secondary structure includes four short double-helical elements and three loops (D, anti-codon, and T loops). The record is from Rfam by way of RNAcentral. Lineage: Eukaryota; Metazoa; Chordata; Mammalia; Artiodactyla; Camelidae. RNAcentral also lists the same sequence under 2 other names.